Molecule: RNase P RNA, 399 nt
Filed under: Nocardioides luti
Lineage: Bacteria; Bacillati; Actinomycetota; Actinomycetes; Propionibacteriales; Nocardioidaceae
Description: Bacterial RNase P class A
Rfam family: Bacterial RNase P class A
About the family: Ribonuclease P (RNase P) is a ubiquitous endoribonuclease, found in archaea, bacteria and eukarya as well as chloroplasts and mitochondria. Its best characterised activity is the generation of mature 5'-ends of tRNAs by cleaving the 5'-leader elements of precursor-tRNAs. Cellular RNase Ps are ribonucleoproteins.
Source: Rfam by way of RNAcentral
UGGGCUGGCCGGGCGACCGCGUCGCCGUACCCCCGGGUGCGGUGCCGAGGAAGGUCCGGGCUCCACAGAGCGAGGUGGUGGGUAACCCCCACCCGGGGCAACCCGCGGGACAGUGCCACAGAGAACAGACCGCCGCCCGGCUCCGGCCGGGAGGUAAGGGUGAAACGGUGGAGUAAGAGCCCACCAGCGAUCCGGGUGACCGGAUCGGCUCGGCAAACCCCACCUGGAGCAAGGUCAAGAAGUCCGGCGCCUUCGGGCAUCGGACGCGCGCACGUCCGAGGGCUGCUCGCCCGAGUGCGCGGGUAGACCGCUGGAGGCUGUCGGCAACGGCAGUCGUAGAUGGAUGGUCGCCCCCCGGCUCGCCGGGGACAGAACCCGGCCUACAGGCCAGCCCAUUCG